Molecule: non-coding RNA, 21 nt
Organism: Caenorhabditis elegans
Lineage: Eukaryota; Metazoa; Nematoda; Chromadorea; Rhabditida; Rhabditidae
Source: Ensembl
UCCACCAAACAUGAUAGAACU